CUCGCAAAUGCUCGCAUAGAAUCGGAGUUACAGCUGGAUGUGGAAAAAAUAACUGAGUUGUUUGGUGGUGGAGCUACAACAGAGGGCAGCUACCCACCGUGUGUGACAGAAAGGACAUGCCGCCAACGAGACAUAUGAGGCCGGGCAGGCGAUUGCUAACGCGGUGGUCAAUCAUGGAUCAGGGAAAGCGAAGGCAGGAGCGUGAGGUGAACUGAAUUUCAGGGGCUCGGCUGUGAUUGGUGGACCUAAUGACCGGCCUGAUGUGACUGGUUCCUGCGGUGGCCGUGAGCUACAAAAGGGCGACUGAAGAGCUGCGCUGGUUGGGAUGUGUGGCAGACUUCCCAUGCACCUGCCUCUGGUCCAGACGGCGCGGCUGCAGCUACAGUCUUUUAGCAUAAAGUCGGGCAUGUGUGUGAGGUGCGGAGUAAGUAGGGGUGAGCUGCCGAUUAUUUUGAGAUGCCUUCUUUUCUCCUGUGGUUUUUAGACCAGAGAGGUCAGUCUGUGUUAUUUCUUUGUUUUCUUUUCCGUGGAUAGGUUAGAGGGGAACCGAAGCAUAGGUUGAGUUUUGUUUAUUGUUUUGGCCUUGGCUCACUCCGAAGUAUAU
Oreochromis aureus is the source of this 604-nucleotide long non-coding RNA. The record is from Ensembl. NCBI's taxonomy places the organism in Eukaryota, Metazoa, Chordata, Actinopteri, Cichliformes, Cichlidae.